Long non-coding RNA from Anas platyrhynchos (mallard), 1761 nucleotides. RefSeq lists it as uncharacterized. The record is from RefSeq and is a predicted model, not a curated record. Lineage: Eukaryota; Metazoa; Chordata; Aves; Anseriformes; Anatidae.
AGUAAACAGUAAAUAAAAUUAAAAAAAAAAAAAAAAAGUUCUCUGUUGAUUAAGAAACCCAGCGAAAUCUGUCCUAUGAGAAGUCAGUUCUCAGGCAGCAAUGUGCUGGGGUGGUGUGAUGUGCAGGGGUUAAUGUUUAAGCUUCUGUUUUUGUUUAGAGUAGUCAGCAGCAGAUAAUGCUGUAUAUCCUCAAAAUAGGCACGGAUCCAUUGAGAGGCACGAGGUCCAGGCCAUGAAGAGAUUUGCAGGCUUCAAAGUCCCAGGCAGGCCAGUACAAAACAAAACAAAAAAUAAUAAUAAUAAAUUUAAAAAAAAAAAAAAAGAGAGAGAGAGAGAAAUUACCAAAAACAAAGUAGGAAAGCAAGGAAAGCUGGAUAUUUGCAACCUGUGGGGUACCAAGGGACCCAGCCAGCCCAGCCCAGCAGUACCAGUAAAGAUCCCCUGUUCCCUGCUUGCCCCCUAGCAAAAUUUGUUUUGCCGGGGGGAAAAUAUCACCCUAACCUGCCCAGGCUCAAGGGGCAGCACACUUUUAACCCCCCUACACCCAUUCCUGAUCCUUGUCUUCCUCCUGGGCGAUGCAUUCAAGCCCUAAAAUUGGAACUUGAAGUCCUCGGGCGUGCAGAACCCUCCAGGAGGCAACAACACGCUCAUUAAUUCAAGCUCAGACUAAGGCUGCUGUAGACACGGGUAUGAAAUCAUCAGUUUUAUUUAGUUCAGCGGUUAGGUAUGAUUGUUCUGAACUGCGAUUCAACCCUGUUCUCUUAUAUAUCUGGCAGUGUUAAAAGUAACAAGUCUAUCACCUCUGGAGCCAUUUCUCUGUCGUUCGCAUCCUUGCUGGAGCUGCAGUGUUUAGCUGGAGGGCUUCAUCUCUUCGAGACAGCCACCUGUCAAUUAUCUGUCUCCUCCAUAAAUAAAAUAAACGCUCAGUGACUUUUUUUUUAAUACACAAAAAGCAGCUGUCCCUCCGUGUUUGCAGUAAGGCUGGUGGCACUGCGUUAGGAGGAGGUAAAGCGAUGGGCUCCAUCACUGCAGUUAGGGCUUUGCAUUAAGCUGAAUGAAAUUCAGCUGCGUGGCAUCCCCUCACACCACUCCCUUUAUGCUGGCUGGCACUGCCAGGAGGAGAUUUCCAUUCUCCCUGUACACACGGAUGGUUGUCGAGCUCCAAAACCAGACCCACCAUGCACAGACCCACCACUGACAGCCUCUCUUGCCCAGAGACAGAGAAAGAAAAGAAACUGAUGCAACAGAAGAUCUUCACCACACCAUCUGAGCAAUGCACCUCGCUCCUGAUCCGUGACACCCAGCCUGCUCGCUCCAUUCCUGCAGCGAGACCCAGCGCAGGGCUCUGAAUUCACUGCAACCAAAAGGUCUGCGAGAAAGGCUCCGAGACAACCCCAAACCACCCUGUAUGGACACAGUGGGCUUUGGGGAAGAUGGGAAGCCUGGCGAGGCCACCCCAGGAACCUGCAGGUGGCUUCGGAUGGGACCUUUGGUCUGUGCUGUGCCCCCUGACACCACCAGGUCCUGCAGGGCUGCUCCUGCUCCUGAGUGCCCGGUAGGCAGCGGGGCUGUAACAAACAUUACUCAUCCACAGCCAGUGCUCACCAGCUCCAGCUUCUCGCAGUCGUGCAUGACGCAUAUGUUUACCACCAGUGGGAGGGUUUUUUUAUAUAUGUAUUUUUUUUACUGCAGUAAAGUGUCCCUGUUCCUGAGGACAGAGGAAUGAUUACCCACCGCUUUCAUGGUAUAAUAAAGAGCAUA